Long non-coding RNA from Ictalurus punctatus (channel catfish), 1189 nucleotides. RefSeq lists it as uncharacterized. NCBI's taxonomy places the organism in Eukaryota, Metazoa, Chordata, Actinopteri, Siluriformes, Ictaluridae. The record is from RefSeq and is a predicted model, not a curated record. The transcript is spliced from 3 exons.
AAGUCAGCGAGGCAACACACCAUCUGUUCGACAGUUCACACUGACAGCAAGAUGCACAGAUACAUACCGAGACACUGAGACGUGGGGAAAGUGGGGGUAGAUGGACUCUCGGAAGUGGAGAUUUCCAAAUAUUGGAAAAGUGUCAACACGGCAGGCUGGACGUAUAAUUCGGACACACAUGAUUUUACGGAGAUGCCAGUGAUCCUGAUUCUUUCUGCUCUCCGGUCCUGCCUGAUCCAUCCUGAUGCCCUACCUCAGGAUGAAGCUCUCAAUGGACAUUCUCACUAUAGUUGCUGGGACUACGGUUGCUACUAUGGAUUUGAGACUGCAAUUACUACAUGCGGUUUUGCACUCAGGUCUCCUUUAGUGAACGGUGGACUAGUUCAACAAACAGACUUCAUAUAAAACCGUAAUGAACUUUCUUUUACUUUCACACUAUCCGUUGUUACGGGUUCCCUUCCGAGUCCGGUUCCUCUCAAGGUUUCUCCCUCAUAUCAUCUUAGGGAGUUUUUCCUCACCACCGUUUCCACCGUCUCGCUCAAUAGGGAUAAAUCCACACGCUUAAAAUCUCCAUCCUGUGUUUAUAUGUGUCUGUAAGGCUGCUUUGAGAUAAUGUCCAUUGUUAAAAGCGCUAGACAAAUAAAAUAAAAUUGAAUUGAACUCAGACGGCAAACCAGUGACGCUUGUGGAUAAAGGCUUUAUAGGCUGAAAUCAACAGUACAAUAACUGUAGGUUGUAUUUUUAAAAGUGUCUAAUUAAAGUGAUUCAUUUUCCUGUUAGAUAGCCUACUACUUUCCAAACCACCUGAUGCAUAAUAAUAAUAAUAAUAAUAAUAAUAAUAAUAAUAAUAAUAAUAAGAGGAGGAAAACAUUGUGAUAGACAUCUUAUUAAGUUUCAGGCCCUGACUAAUAUCAAACCCCGAUCACAUCACAGCAAUGAUAGGAUUUCUUUUUAAAGAAGAAUUUCAAUUACUUUUUUAAUUUUUAUUAUUUAUCUUAAAACCAACGAGUUGUUGUAGUUGGAGAUCUAUUGGUUGAAGGGUUCGGUGAAAUCAUUACCUUCUUGUUCACAAAAUAAUAUUAAACUUUGCAUGUACUCUGUGUCCGUGUGAUUAGUGCUGUUUUGUUCCUUUCCUUUUUUUCUUUUUUUUUUCUUUCAGAGGUGAUGAACCCUAUAAAGGGUGCUUGAA